GAUGAACGCUGACAGAAUGCUUAACACCUGCAAGUCAACUUGAAUUUGGGUUUUUAACUUAGAUUUGGGUGGCGGACGGGUGAGUAACGCGUAAAGAACUUGCCUCACAGCUAGGGACAACAUUUAGAAAUGAAUGCUAAUACCUGAUAUUAUGAUUUUAAGGCAUCUUAGAAUUAUGAAAGCUAUAAGCACUGUGAGAGAGCUUUGCGUCCCAUUAGCUAGUUGGAGAGGUAACAGCUCACCAAAGCGAUGAUGGGUAGCCGGCCUGAGAGGGUGAACGGCCACAAGGGGACUGAGACACGGCCCUUACUCCUACGGGAGGCAGCAGUGGGGAAUAUUGGACAAUGGACCGAGAGUCUGAUCCAGCAAUUCUGUGUGCACGAUGAAGUUUUUCGGAAUGUAAAGUGCUUUCAGUUGGGAAGAAACAAAUGACGGUACCAACAGAAGAAGUAACGGCUAAAUACGUGCCAGCAGCCGCGGUAAUACGUAUGUCACGAGCGUUAUCCGGAUUUAUUGGGCGUAAAGCGCGUCUAGGUGGUUAUGUAAGUCUGAUGUGAAAAUGCAGGGCUCAACUCUGUAUUGCGUUGGAAACUGUAUAACUAGAGUACUGGAGAGGUAAGCGGAACUACAAGUGUAGAGGUGAAAUUCGUAGAUAUUUGUAGGAAUGCCGAUGGGGGAAGCCAGCUUACUGGACAGAUACUGACGCUAAAGCGCGAAAGCGUGGGUAGCAAACAGG
This 736-nucleotide ribosomal RNA is filed under the name uncultured Fusobacterium sp. RNAcentral describes it as "bacterial SSU rRNA". It matches the Rfam family "Bacterial small subunit ribosomal RNA", at positions 28 to 776 of the family's 1533-position model. Lineage: Bacteria; Fusobacteriati; Fusobacteriota; Fusobacteriia; Fusobacteriales; Fusobacteriaceae. The record is from RNAcentral.